Homo sapiens (human) is the source of this 4428-nucleotide long non-coding RNA. RefSeq annotates it as LINE-1 retrotransposable element ORF1 protein-like. The record is from RefSeq and is a predicted model, not a curated record. NCBI's taxonomy places the organism in Eukaryota, Metazoa, Chordata, Mammalia, Primates, Hominidae. The transcript has 4 exons.
GAUUAUAAUGCAAACAAGGACCAGAAAUGGCUACUGUCAGAAGUGAGUGAGAAACAAAGCCUGGGGAAAGGAUGUAGGAUCACAGGAGGUGGAACUGAUGGGAUUAAUAAGAAACCAGGCAUGAGAAGCCAUGCAGAUGUAAAUUUGGAAAUCAACAUAUUGAUAGUUGGAGUCACUGGAGUAGGAUGUCUGCCAGCUCCUCUCCAGCCACCCAUUCUCAUAGCGGGUGAGCCAGACCACAUCUGCUAAUCCAGGAGCACAGCUCAGGACUAGUCUAUGCGGAUGGAAUCUCUCUCCAGCCUUUUCUCUAUGUCAGUUUUAUCUACCUGGCAAGAAAAAACAAAAACAACCCCAAAACAACCCCUCCCCACAAACACAACACAAAACAAGGGACUCGAAAAGUUGGAGAAAACCUUUUAAUGUGUUUCUGUAAAAUCCUUUCUUAGGAGGUUUAGUACAGGUACUACCCAUCAGCAACUUAGCCGGCCAGGUGAGUUGGUGCAGAAGGGCUUCGGCUGAAUUUAUACCAGAGCCAUCGGGAGUGACUUGGCCACCUCUCCCAAUUACCACAAGGAAGUCUUAAAAUUGAAUUUCAGUUUCAGCAGAUACUUCAGAUUUACCUGAGCAAUAUCAUAGACAAUGUACUCAUUAUAUAGUAGACAAGUGUCAUUCACACCAGAUGAAAUCCCAGUCCCAAGAGGAACCUCUGCACCAUCCAGAGUAAUACUAGCUGAAGGGUCAGGGGUAGUUUUGCCCAAACCUUUGACACUGUGCUUGCCCUUGGGUAACUUGCUGAUAUGUGAAGCGUGCUUCAGUUCAUACAUUUUCCAAGGGCAACUUCUCCCAACAGGAUUAAGCCUGUUGGGCCUCCCUGAGAUGUAUGGCAGUAGUUGGCACUCUUGGAGGCCAUGUCAGCGAAAUAGAUCCCUUUACCAAACAUGUAGCCCGUCAUGGGCACUUCAGGCGGGGCUAUCCAAAGACCCUGGGACAGGAUCCCAGCAAAGCUGGUGGUUGUGGACCCGGGGCAUGGGCCUUUCUAUCUUUUGCUCUUGGUUUAUAUUUUCCUAUCCACCAGUUCUUCUUUAAAAUAAAUGUAUUUGAGUCAAAACAAUAGAUCAAUAAAAUAUACUAAGUAAAUAAUUGUAUAGAUGUCAAGUAGAAUGUAGCCUAGAGAUCAGUGAAGGAAAAAAUAAAGAAUACAAUAGGACAAAGACCUGAUUGGGAUAAUAAAAAGAGGGAGAGAGAAUUGAUUUUAAAAUCUUUCCUGGGAAAGUUUAAAAUCUGUCCUUAGAGAGGAGGGAGCCAAGAUGGCCGAAUAGGAACAGCUCCGGUCUACAGCUCCCAGCGUGAGCGACGCAGAAGACGGGUGAUUUCUGCAUUUCCAUCUGAGGUACCGGGUUCAUCUCACUAGGGAGUGCCAGACAGUGGGCGCAGGCCAGUGUGUGUGCGCACCGUGCGCGAGCCGAAGCAGGGCGAGGCAUUGCCUCACCUGGGAAGCGCAAGGGGUCAGGGAGUUCCCUUUCCGAGUCAAAGAAAGGGGUGACGGACGCACCUGGAAAAUCGGGUCACUCCCACCCGAAUAUUGCGCUUUUCAGACCGGCUUAAGAAACGGCGCACCACGAGACUAUAUCCCACACCUGGCUCAGAGGGUCCUACGCCCACGGAAUCUCGCUGAUUGCUAGCACAGCAGUCUGAGAUCAAACUGCAAGGCGGCAACGAGGCUGGGGGAGGGGCGCCCGCCAUUGCCCAGGCUUGCUUAGGUAAACAAAGCAGCCGGGAAGCUCGAACUGGGUGGAGCCCACCACAGCUCAAGGAGGCCUGCCUGCCUCUGUAGGCUCCACCUCUGGGGGCAGGGCACAGACAAACAAAAAGACAGCAGUAACCUCUGCAGACUUAAGUGUCCCUGUCUGACAGCUUUGAAGAGAGCAGUGGUUCUCCCAGCACGCAGCUGGAGAUCUGAGAACGGGCAGACUGCCUCAAGUGGGUCCCUGACCCCUGACCCCCGAGCAGCCUAACUGGGAGGCACCCCCCAGCAGGGGCACACUGACACCUCACACGGCAGGGUAUUCCAACAGACCUGCAGCUGAGGUUCCUGUCUGUUAGAAGGAAAACUAACAACCAGAAAGGACAUCUACACCGAAAACCCAUCUGUACAUCACCAUCAUCAAAGACCAAAAGUAGAUAAAACCACAAAGAUGGGGAAAAAACAGAACAGAAAAACUGGAAACUCUAAAACGCAGAGCGCCUCUCCUCCUCCAAAGGAACGCAGUUCCUCACCAGCAACAGAACAAAGCUGGAUGGAGAAUGAUUUUGACGAGCUGAGAGAAGAAGGCUUCAGACGAUCAAAUUACUCUGAGCUACGGGAGGACAUUCAAACCAAAGGCAAAGAAGUUGAAAACUUUGAAAAAAAUUUAGAAGAAUGUAUAACUAGAAUAACCAAUACAGAGAAGUGCUUAAAGGAGCUGAUGGAGCUGAAAACCAAGGCUCGAGAACUACGUGAAGAAUGCAGAAGCCUCAGGAGCCGAUGCGAUCAACUGGAAGAAAGGGUAUCAGCAAUGGAAGAUGAAAUGAAUGAAAUGAAGCGAGAAGGGAAGUUUAGAGAAAAAAGAAUAAAAAGAAAUGAGCAAAGCCUCCAAGAAAUAUGGGACUAUGUGAAAAGACCAAAUCUACGUCUGAUUGGUGUACCUGAAAGUGAUGUGGAGAAUGGAACCAAGUUGGAAAACACUCUGCAGGAUAUUAUCCAGGAGAACUUCCCCAAUCUAGCAAGGCAGGCCAACGUUCAGAUUCAGGAAAUACAGAGAACGCCACAAAGAUACUCCUCGAGAAGAGCAACUCCAAGACACAUAAUUGUCAGAUUCACCAAAGUUGAAAUGAAGGAAAAAAUGUUAAGGGCAGCCAGAGAGAAAGGUCGGGUUACCCUCAAAGGAAAGCCCAUCAGACUAACAGCGGAUCUCUCGGCAGAAACCCUACAAGCCAGAAGAGAGUGGGGGCCAAUAUUCAACAUUCUUAAAGAAAAGAAUUUUCAACCCAGAAUUUCAUAUCCAGCCAAACUAAGCUUCAUAAGUGAAGGAGAAAUAAAAUACUUUAUAGACAAGCAAAUGCUGAGAGAUUUUGUCACCACCAGGCCUGCCCUAAAAGAGCUCCUGAAGGAAGCGCUAAACAUGGAAAGGAACAACCGGUACCAGCCGCUGCAAAAUCAUGCCAAAAUGUAAAGACCAUCGAGACUAGGAAGAAACUGCAUCAACUAAUGAGCAAAAUCACCAGCUAACAUCAUCAUGACAGGAUCAAAUUCACACAUAACAAUAUUAACUUUAAAUAUAAAUGGACUAAAUUCUGCAAUUAAAAGACACAGACUGGCAAAUUGGAUAAAGAGUCAAGACCCAUCAGUGUGCUGUAUUCAGGAAACCCAUCUCACGUGCAGAGACACACAUAGGCUCAAAAUAAAAGGAUGGAGGAAGAUCUACCAAGCCAAUGGAAAACAAAAAAAGGCAGGGGUUGCAAUCCUAGUCUCUGAUAAAACAGACUUUAAACCAACAAAGAUCAAAAGAGACAAAGAAGGCCAUUACAUAAUGGUAAAGGGAUCAAUUCAACAAGAGGAGCUAACUAUCCUAAAUAUUUAUGCACCCAAUACAGGAGCACCCAGAUUCAUAAAGCAAGUCCUCAGUGACCUACAAAGAGACUUAGACUCCCACACAUUAAUAAUGGGAGACUUUAACACCCCACUGUCAACAUUAGACAGAUCAACGAGACAGAAAGUCAACAAGGAUACCCAGGAAUUGAACUCAGCUCUGCACCAAGCAGACCUAAUAGACAUCUACAGAACUCUCCACCCCAAAUCAACAGAAUAUACAUUUUUUUCAGCACCACACCACACCUAUUCCAAAAUUGACCACAUAGUUGGAAGUAAAGCUCUCCUCAGCAAAUGUAAAAGAACAGAAAUUAUAACAAACUAUCUCUCAGACCACAGUGCAAUCAAACUAGAACUCAGGAUUAAAAAUCUCACUCAAAGCCGCUCAACUACAUGGAAACUGAACAACCUGCUCCUGAAUGACUGCUGGGUACAUAACGAAAUGAAGGCAGAAAUAAAGAUGUUCUUUGAAACCAACGAGAACAAAGACACCACAUACCAGAAUCUCUGGGACGCAUUCAAAGCAGUGUGUAGAGGGAAAUUUAUAGCACUAAAUGCCUACAAGAGAAAGCAGGAAAGAUCCAAAAUUGACACCCUAACAUCACAAUUAAAAGAACUAGAAAAGCAAGAGCAAACACAUUCAAAAGCUAUCAGAAGGCAAGAAAUAACUAAAAUCAGAGCAGAACUGAAGGAAAUAGAGACACAAAAAACCCUUCAAAAAAUCAAUGAAUCCAGGAGCUGGUUUUUUGAAAGGAUCAACAAAAUUGAUAGACCGCUAGCAAGACUAAUAAAGAAAAAAA